RNAcentral lists this ribosomal RNA (254 nucleotides) under uncultured bacterium. RNAcentral's name for it is "partial 16S ribosomal RNA". It matches the Rfam family "Bacterial small subunit ribosomal RNA", at positions 524 to 777 of the family's 1533-position model. The record is from RNAcentral.
UACAGGGGGGGCAAGCGUUGUUCGGAAUUACUGGGCGUAAAGGGCUCGUAGGCGGCCAACUAAGUCACACGUGAAAUCCCCAGGCUUAACCUGGGAACUGCGUGUGAUACUGGAUGGCUUGAAUCCGGGAGAGGGAUGCAGAAUUCCAGGUGUAGCGGUGAAAUGCGUAGAUAUCGGGAGGAACACCAGUGGCGAAGGCGGCGAUCUGGGAAGAUACUGACGCUGAGGUGCGAAAGCGUGGGGAGCAAACAGGG